This 57-nucleotide transfer RNA is filed under the name Ovis aries (sheep). It matches the Rfam family "tRNA", at positions 8 to 63 of the family's 71-position model. Rfam says of the family: Transfer RNA (tRNA) molecules are approximately 80 nucleotides in length. Their secondary structure includes four short double-helical elements and three loops (D, anti-codon, and T loops). Lineage: Eukaryota; Metazoa; Chordata; Mammalia; Artiodactyla; Bovidae. The record is from Rfam by way of RNAcentral.
UGGCUCAGAUGGUAAAGCGUCUGCCUGCAAUGCAAGAGACCCAGGUUCAAUCCCUGG